RNAcentral lists this ribosomal RNA (490 nucleotides) under uncultured bacterium. Its description in RNAcentral is "bacterial SSU rRNA". It matches the Rfam family "Bacterial small subunit ribosomal RNA", at positions 43 to 524 of the family's 1533-position model. The record is from RNAcentral.
CAGGCCUAACACAUGCAAGUCGAACGGUAGCACAGAGAGCUUGCUCUCGGGUGACGAGUGGCGGACGGGUGAGUAAUGUCUGGGAAACUGCCUGAUGGAGGGGGAUAACUACUGGAAACGGUAGCUAAUACCGCAUAACGUCUUCGGACCAAAGAGGGGGACCUUCGGGCCUCUUGCCAUCGGAUGUGCCCAGAUGGGAUUAGCUAGUAGGUGGGGUAACGGCUCACCUAGGCGACGAUCCCUAGCUGGUCUGAGAGGAUGACCAGCCACACUGGAACUGAGACACGGUCCAGACUCCUACGGGAGGCAGCAGUGGGGAAUAUUGCACAAUGGGCGCAAGCCUGAUGCAGCCAUGCCGCGUGUAUGAAGAAGGCCUUCGGGUUGUAAAGUACUUUCAGCGGGGAGGAAGGGAGUGAGGUUAAUAACCUCAUUCAUUGACGUUACCCGCAGAAGAAGCACCGGCUAACUCCGUGCCAGCAGCCGCGGUAAU